UGGACUCAUUAUCACACAACUAAUGGGAGGCUAUGACGUGGUCAUCUCCAUUAACCAUAUCAUUUUAUAGACCUAAUAAUUUAGAGGAUUUUUAUAAUAAAAAGCUGACUCAAUCCAAAUCCUCCCACUGACUUCAUAAGUCAGGUAUCAUAGGAAAUAGAUUCAAGUCAGUGCACCUAAAUCAGUCCAACUGAUUUUCUUACAGGCAUGGGUCAAUUAGAGUCAAUCA
This 229-nucleotide long non-coding RNA is filed under the name Phoenix dactylifera (date palm). Its description in RNAcentral is "long non-coding RNA (PDAC_LNC012496)". Lineage: Eukaryota; Viridiplantae; Streptophyta; Magnoliopsida; Arecales; Arecaceae. The record is from RNAcentral.